CAGUAGCCGCGGGAAUACGUAGGGUGCGAGCGUUAAUCGGAAUUACUGGGCGUAAAGCGUGCGCAGGCGGUUCGUUAAGACAGAUGUGAAAUCCCCGGGCUUAACCUGGGAACUGCAUUUGUGACUGGCGAGCUAGAGUAUGGCAGAGGGGGGUAGAAUUCCACGUGUAGCAGUGAAAUGCGUAGAGAUGUGGAGGAAUACCGAUGGCGAAGGCAGCCCCCUGGGACAACACUGACGCUGAAGCACGAAAGCGUGGGGAGCAAACAGGAUUAGAUACCCCAGUAGUCCCUGUCUCUUAUAU
Molecule: ribosomal RNA, 301 nt
Filed under: uncultured bacterium
Lineage: Bacteria
Description: partial 16S ribosomal RNA
Rfam family: Bacterial small subunit ribosomal RNA
Source: RNAcentral